GCACAUGUAGUAUGUAUAAGUAUAUGUAUUAGCUAUUUUAUGAUUGGCAUGAUACAGUAAUGUGUAUCAUGCAUGUUUAUUAUAAGGUUUAGUUUCUAUAUGCAUAUUUAUGUAUGUAUUAGGGUAAAUAACUAUUUAUGUGUUCGCUAAUGCCAUUUAUGAUGUAUAUCUGUAUAUACUAGCAGUAUACUUAGGUAAUAUUUUGUUUAUUUAGGUUCACUAAGAAUCAGAUGUUUUAGUACCUGUUGGACUAUUCUGCCUGCGUCCCUGAGACGAGGGCGUUUUGUUAUAAUUCUGCCAACUGGGGAUCUCCUUAUCCAACGUAACCAGCGCCGAAUAAAUCCCUGAAACCACA
RNAcentral lists this long non-coding RNA (355 nucleotides) under Haliotis rubra (blacklip abalone). Its description in RNAcentral is "uncharacterized LOC124252840". The record is from RNAcentral. Lineage: Eukaryota; Metazoa; Mollusca; Gastropoda; Lepetellida; Haliotidae.